AUUGAACGCUGGCGGCAUGCUUUACACAUGCAAGUCGAACGGCAGCACGGGUGCUUGCACCUGGUGGCGAGUGGCGAACGGGUGAGUAAUGCAUCGGAACGUGCCCAUGAGUGGGGGAUAGCCCGGCGAAAGCCGGAUUAAUACCGCAUACGCCCUUAGGGGGAAAGCGGGGGAUCUUCGGACCUCGCGCUAUUGGAGCGGCCGAUGUCGGAUUAGCUAGUAGGUGAGGUAAAGGCUCACCUAGGCGACGAUCCGUAGCUGGUCUGAGAGGAUGAUCAGCCACACUGGGACUGAGACACGGCCCAGACUCCUACGGGAGGCAGCAGUGGGGAAUUUUGGACAAUGGGCGCAAGCCUGAUCCAGCCAUGCCGCGUGAGUGAAGAAGGCCUC
RNAcentral lists this ribosomal RNA (390 nucleotides) under uncultured bacterium. RNAcentral's name for it is "bacterial SSU rRNA". It matches the Rfam family "Bacterial small subunit ribosomal RNA", at positions 29 to 418 of the family's 1533-position model. The record is from RNAcentral.